Molecule: ribosomal RNA, 494 nt
Filed under: uncultured bacterium
Lineage: Bacteria
Description: partial 16S ribosomal RNA
Rfam family: Bacterial small subunit ribosomal RNA
Source: RNAcentral
GACGAACGCUGGCGGCGUGCUUAACACAUGCAAGUCGAACGGUGAAGCGCCUUCCUUUUUGGUGGGUGUGGAUGAGUGGCGAACGGGUGAGUAACACGUGAGUAACCUGCCCCCUUCUUCUGGAUAACCGCAUGAAAGUGUGGCUAAUACGGGAUAUUCUGGGUCUGUCGCAUGAUGGGUCUGGGCAAGAUAUUGUUUCGGUGGGGGAUGGGCUCGCGGCCUAUCAGCUUGUGGGUGGGGUGAUGGCCUACCAAGGCGGUGACGGGUAGCCGGCCUGAGAGGGUGGACGGUCACACUGGGACUGAGACACGGCCCAGACUCCUACGGGAGGCAGCAGUGGGGAAUAUUGCACAAUGGGCGCAAGCCUGAUGCAGCGACGCAGCGUGAGGGAUGGAGGCCUUCGGGUUGUGAACCUCUUUCGCCAGUGAAGCAGGCCUGCCUCGUAUGUGGGUGGGUUGACGGUAGCUGGAUAAGAAGCGCCGGCUAACUACGUG